This 446-nucleotide ribosomal RNA is filed under the name uncultured bacterium. RNAcentral describes it as "partial 16S ribosomal RNA". It matches the Rfam family "Bacterial small subunit ribosomal RNA", at positions 338 to 795 of the family's 1533-position model. The record is from RNAcentral.
CCUACGGGUGGCAGCAGUCGAGAAUCAUUCACAAUGGGGGAAACCCUGAUGGUGUGACGCCGCGUGGGGGAAUGAAGGUCUUCGGAUUGUAAACCCCUGUCAUGUGGGAGCAAAUUAAAAAGAUAGUACCACAAGAGGAAGAGACGGCUAACUCUGGGCCAGCAGCCGCGGUAAUACAGAGGUCUCAAGCGUUGUUCGGAAUCACUGGGCGUAAAGCGUGCGUAGGCUGUUUCGUAAGUCGUGUGUGAAAGGCGCGGGCUCAACCCGCGGACGGCACAUGAUACUGCGGGACUAGAGUAAGGGAGGGGGAACCGGAAUUCUCGGUGUAGCAGUGAAAUGCGUAGAUAUCGAGAGGAACACUCGUGGCGAAGGCGGGUUCCUGGACAUUAACUGACGCUGAGGCACGAAGGCCAGGGGAGCGAAAGGGAUUAGAUACCCCUGUAGUC